GCCCGGCUGGCACAAUUGGUUAGCGCGUGAGACUCUUAAUCUCAAGGUUGAGGGGUAAGCUAGCAUCAAUAGGAAAGCGCCGAGACAAUUGACUAACGACUUUCAACGAAGUUCGAGUCCCUCGUCGGGCU
This is a non-coding RNA of Dendryphion nanum, 131 nucleotides long. The record is from the annotation of a GenBank genome assembly. Lineage: Eukaryota; Fungi; Ascomycota; Dothideomycetes; Pleosporales; Torulaceae.